Molecule: ribosomal RNA, 824 nt
Filed under: uncultured bacterium
Lineage: Bacteria
Description: bacterial SSU rRNA
Rfam family: Bacterial small subunit ribosomal RNA
Source: RNAcentral
GGCAGGCUUAACAACAUGCCAAGUCGAGGGGGCAGCAUGUCCAAGCAAUGGAUGAUGGCGACCGGCGGAAGGGUGCGUAACGCGUGAGCAACAUGCCCUAUACAGGGAGAUACACCAGGGAAACUUGGUCUAAUAUCCCAUAGCAUUCAUUGAAGGCAUCUUUAAUGAAUUAAAGCUUCGGUGGUAUAGGAUUGGCUCGCGUGACAUUAGCCAGAUGGUGAGGUAACGGCUCACCAUAGCAAUGAUGUCUAGGGGUUUUGAGAGGAAGGCCCCCCACACUGGGACUGAGACACGGCCCAGACUCCUACGGGAGGCAGCAGUGAGGAAUAUUGGACAAUGGACGCAAGUCUGAACCAGCCAUGUCGCGUGCAGGAUGACUGCCCUAUGGGUUGUAAACUGCUUUUAUAUUGGAAGAAUUGCGCUUACGAGUUAAGCGUUUGACGGUACAUUAUGAAUAAGGAUCGGCUAACUCCGUGCCAGCAGCCGCGGUAAUACGGAGGAUCCGAGCGUUAUCCGGAUUUAUUGGGUUUAAAGGGUGCGUAGGCGGCCAUUUAAGUCAGCGGUGAAAUCCUGCAGCUUAACUGUAGAAUAGCCGUUGAAACUGUGUUUCUUGAGUACAUUUGAGGUAGGCGGAAUGUGGUGUGUAGCGGUGAAAUGCAUAGAUAUACCACAGAACACCGAUUGCGAAGGCAGCUUACUAAACUGUCACUGACGCUGAUGCACGAAAGCGUGGGUAUCAAACAGGAUUAGAUACCCUGGUAGUCCACGCUGUAAACGAUGAUUACUGGUUGUUUGCGAUACACUGCAAGUGACUGAGCGAAAGC